Molecule: ribosomal RNA, 985 nt
Filed under: Mortierella macrocystopsis
Lineage: Eukaryota; Fungi; Mortierellomycota; Mortierellomycetes; Mortierellales; Mortierellaceae
Description: eukaryotic LSU rRNA
Rfam family: Eukaryotic large subunit ribosomal RNA
Source: RNAcentral
AGUGAAGCGGGAUGAGCUCAAAUUUAAAAUCUGACUGGUUUACUAGUCCGAGUUGUAGUUUAAAGAAGCGUUUUCGGUGGCAGUCUCGGUAUAAAUCCUUUGGAAUAGGGUAUCAUAGAGGGUGAGAAUCCCGUCUUUGACUGAGAAUAUGCUACUAUGUGAUACGUUUUCAAAGAGUCGAGUUGUUUGGGAAUGCAGCUCAAAAUGGGUGGUAAAUUUCAUCUAAGGCUAAAUAUUGGCGAGAGACCGAUAGCGAACAAGUACCGUGAGGGAAAGAUGAAAAGAACUUUGAAAAGAGAGUUAAACAGUGCGUGAAAUUGUUAAAAGGGAAACGCUUGAAACCAGUCAUGCGGUUGGGAAAUCAGUCUCUGACAAGGGGGAAUGGGAGAGGUGUGGACCGCAAGGCCGCUCUUUUUCAUAUCUUUCGUGGCAGGGAUGCACUUUUUCUUCUGCAGGUCAACAUCAGUUUGCUUUGCCGGACAAAACUCUUGGAAAGGUGAUAGCUUAGGCUAUGUUAUAGUCCAAGAGCGAUACGGCGGAGCGGACUGAGGCUUUCGCAGCAUGUGCUCUCGGGCAAGGCUGAUUGGGUGCUAUGGGAUCGUUCAGAGUACAAUACAUGUAUUUUGCUUUGUGUCUUUUCUAUACUCGCUCAACUCGGCUCUUCCAUGCUUAGGAUGUUGACAUAAUGGUUCUAAUCGACCCGUCUUGAAACACGGACCAAGGAGUCUAACAUAUAUGCAAGUGUUUGGGUGGCAAACCCAUGCGCGUAAUGAAAGUGAACGUAGGUGCCAUCCGCAAGGUGCAGCAUCGACCGAUCUUGAUAUUUUUGGAUAGAUUUGAGUAAGAGCAUAUAUGCUGGGACCCGAAAGAUGGUGAACUAUGCCUGAAUAGGGUGAAGCCAGAGGAAACUCUGGUGGAGGCUCGUAGCGAUUCUGACGUGCAAAUCGAUCGUCAAAUUUGGGUAUAGGGGCGAAAGACUAAUCGA